AGUUUGAUCCUGGCUCAGGACGAACGCUGGCGGCGUGCCUAAUACAUGCAAGUCGAGCGGACAGAUGGGAGCUUGCUCCCUGAUGUUAGCGGCGGACGGGUGAGUAACACGUGGGUAACCUGCCUGUAAGACUGGGAUAACUCCGGGAAACCGGGGCUAAUACCGGAUGGUUGUUUGAACCGCAUGGUUCAAACAUAAAAGGUGGCUUCGGCUACCACUUACAGAUGGACCCGCGGCGCAUUAGCUAGUUGGUGAGGUAACGGCUCACCAAGGCRACGAUGCGUAGCCGACCUGAGAGGGUGAUCGGCCACACUGGGACUGAGACACGGCCCAGACUCCUACGGGAGGCAGCAGUAGGGAAUCUUCCGCAAUGGACGAAAGUCUGACGGAGCAACGCCGCGUGAGUGAUGAAGGUUUUCGGAUCGUAAAGCUCUGUUGUUAGGGAAGAACAAGUACCGUUCGAAUAGGGCGGUACCUUGACGGUACCUAACCAGAAAGCCACGGCUAACUACGUGCCAGCAGCCGCGGUAAUACGUAGGUGGCAAGCGUUGUCCGGAAUUAUUGGGCGUAAAGGGCUCGCAGGCGGUUUCUUAAGUCUGAUGUGAAAGCCCCCGGCUCAACCGGGGAGGGUCAUUGGAAACUGGGGAACUUGAGUGCAGAAGAGGAGAGUGGAAUUCCACGUGUAGCGGUGAAAUGCGUAGAGAUGUGGAGGAACACCAGUGGCGAAGGCGACUCUCUGGUCUGUAACUGACGCUGAGGAGCGAAAGCGUGGGGAGCGAACAGGAUUAGAUACCCUGGUAGUCC
This 804-nucleotide ribosomal RNA is filed under the name Bacillus subtilis. RNAcentral describes it as "bacterial SSU rRNA". It matches the Rfam family "Bacterial small subunit ribosomal RNA", at positions 10 to 796 of the family's 1533-position model. The record is from RNAcentral. Lineage: Bacteria; Bacillati; Bacillota; Bacilli; Caryophanales; Bacillaceae. RNAcentral also lists the same sequence under 2 other names.